Molecule: long non-coding RNA, 549 nt
Filed under: Hordeum vulgare
Lineage: Eukaryota; Viridiplantae; Streptophyta; Magnoliopsida; Poales; Poaceae
Description: long non-coding RNA (HVUL_LNC009069)
Source: RNAcentral
GACAGGUCGACCAGACGCCUGAGCUGCUUGCCCGUUCGCCAGCGCCCAUGUGGGCCUGCUCCAGUGCGCCCGGCCAGGCCCAGCAGUGCCCCCAACCAAUUCCCAGCUCGCCUCGCCCGUGUGGACCGCGACCUCACCCAGCAACAAGCCCAAUCCCGCAUCGAGCCGGGUCGUGAGGCCUCUGGUGAACGCCGCUCGCUAAAUCCCGCCCAAUGCACGUUAUAGAUAUGUCGCGCUUGCCUUUGUUUAGGCCUAGUAAUAGAUCCGACCCGUAGUUGAUUUUUUAGUCUGCGAAUUUGUCCAAUUUUAAGGGAAUUUGAUAAUUACAGAAAUUGCAUCAUUUUAAAAUGUUAAUAACUAUUUAACACCGCAUCGGAUUAAAAUAAAUCAGAUAUGUAGAAUGUGUAGAAUUUUGUGUAGAAUAAUAAUUUCCAACUUUGAUGCAUGUUUCAAAAUGUUUAACCUGCUGUUUGCUUUGAUUUGCAUGAUGACAAUUUAAAAUGAUUUAAUUUGUAGCAAAUUAAACGUGAAAUGGAUUUAAAAACUUCA